ACAGCACUACCCCACCUCCAUGGGACCCUGUCCUCCAACCACACCUUUCCCGUAGCAAUACUCAAUGUUUGAGACAAAUCGUGCUUAGGUCUGAUGUGCUGCAGUUGGAUAUCAGUUGAGUUGAGUUCAACGACACUGCAGAUCUGAGUAAUGCUUCAAAGUGCUCUACAAGAUGCUGUUGGUUCCUCCUGAGUCCGCACGAGACCGUAGAAAGUGUUCCUCCCUGAGUAUCAGAACAUGAUAUGAAGUUUCUUCAGUGAAGAUCCACCAUGACUGCAUGAGAAAAAUGAAUUACCUGCUGAGCCAUUUGUCACACAAGGGCUCAAUUGGAAGGAAAAUUCUGAUUCCGUGGUCUUUCUUUUAAAUCCAUUCUCUGUUUUUCUUUUGGUUUUCUUUCCUUUUUUUGUGCAGUGUCUUAUAAUGUGGACUUUAAAA
Long non-coding RNA from Lepidothrix coronata (blue-crowned manakin), 435 nucleotides. RefSeq lists it as uncharacterized. The record is from RefSeq and is a predicted model, not a curated record. The transcript is spliced from 3 exons. Lineage: Eukaryota; Metazoa; Chordata; Aves; Passeriformes; Pipridae.